AGAGUUUGAUUAUGGCUCAGAUUGAACGCUGGCGGCAGGCUUAACACAUGCAAGUCGAGCGGAGUGAUGGUGCUUGCACUAUCACUUAGCGGCGGACGGGUGAGUAAUGCUUAGGAAUCUGCCUAUUAGUGGGGGACAACAUUUCGAAAGGAAUGCUAAUACCGCAUACGUCCUACGGGAGAAAGCAGGGGAUCUUCGGACCUUGCGCUAAUAGAUGAGCCUAAGUCGGAUUAGCUAGUUGGUGGGGUAAAGGCCUACCAAGGCGACGAUCUGUAGCGGGUCUGAGAGGAUGAUCCGCCACACUGGGACUGAGACACGGCCCAGACUCCUACGGGAGGCAGCAGUGGGGAAUAUUGGACAAUGGGCGCAAGCCUGAUCCAGCCAUGCCGCGUGUGUGAAGAAGGCCUUAUGGUUGUAAAGCACUUUAAGCGAGGAGGAGGCUACUGAAGUUAAUACCUUCAGAUAGUGGACGUUACUCGCAGAAUAAGCACCGGCUAACUCUGUGCCAGCAGCCGCGGUAAUACAGAGGGUGCAAGCGUUAAUCGGAUUUACUGGGCGUAAAGCGCGCGUAGGCGGCUAAUUAAGUCAAAUGUGAAAUCCCCGAGCUUAACUUGGGAAUUGCAUUCGAUACUGGUUAGCUAGAGUGUGGGAGAGGAUGGUAGAAUUCCAGGUGUAGCGGUGAAAUGCGUAGAGAUCUGGAGGAAUACCGAUGGCGAAGGCAGCCAUCUGGCCUAACACUGACGCUGAGGUGCGAAAGCAUGGGGAGCAAACAGGAUUAGAUACCCUGGUAGUCCAUGCCGUAAACGAUGUCUACUAGCCGUUGGGGCCUUUGAGGCUUUAGUGGCGCAGCUAACGCGAUAAGUAGACCGCCUGGGGAGUACGGUCGCAAGACUAAAACUCAAAUGAAUUGACGGGGGCCCGCACAAGCGGUGGAGCAUGUGGUUUAAUUCGAUGCAACGCGAAGAACCUUACCUGGCCUUGACAUAGUAAGAACUUUCCAGAGAUGGAUUGGUGCCUUCGGGAACUUACAUACAGGUGCUGCAUGGCUGUCGUCAGCUCGUGUCGUGAGAUGUUGGGUUAAGUCCCGCAACGAGCGCAACCCUUUUCCUUAUUUGCCAGCGAGUAAUGUCGGGAACUUUAAGGAUACUGCCAGUGACAAACUGGAGGAAGGCGGGGACGACGUCAAGUCAUCAUGGCCCUUACGGCCAGGGCUACACACGUGCUACAAUGGUCGGUACAAAGGGUUGCUACCUAGCGAUAGGAUGCUAAUCUCAAAAAGCCGAUCGUAGUCCGGAUUGGAGUCUGCAACUCGACUCCAUGAAGUCGGAAUCGCUAGUAAUCGCGGAUCAGAAUGCCGCGGUGAAUACGUUCACGGGCCUUGUACACACCGCCCGUCACACCAUGGGAGUUUGUUGCACCAGAAGUAGGUAGUCUAACCGCAAGGGGGACGCUUACCACGGUGUGGCCGAUGACUGGGGUGAAGUCGUAACAAGGUAACCGUA
Molecule: ribosomal RNA, 1502 nt
Filed under: Acinetobacter calcoaceticus
Lineage: Bacteria; Pseudomonadati; Pseudomonadota; Gammaproteobacteria; Moraxellales; Moraxellaceae
Description: 16S ribosomal RNA
Rfam family: Bacterial small subunit ribosomal RNA
Source: RNAcentral